UGGGGAGCUCUUCCGCUCAUUGCAGUUGUGAAGAAUGAGCUUUAUGGCGCUGAUUACAGUAAGAAUAAUGAUUUGAGGCAGUAUGAUAAGAUGGACAACAAGUGGAUAACUCUUGGAAAAUUGCCUGUACAGUCUAAGAAAGAGGGCAAGGACAUGGGUUUCCGAGCGUGUGAUGACCGGCUGAUUGUUAUUGGGCCUCCAAACAAUUCUACUGAUGAAAACGUGGUUGAGCUUCAUUCAUGGAACCCGGAUGGGCAACCACCUGUGUGGAGUUUGUUUGCAACACGGCCAUACAGGGAGGGCUGGAUUCAGUCAACAUGCGCCAUGAUGGGUUGCUGA
This 339-nucleotide ribosomal RNA is filed under the name Triticum aestivum (bread wheat). RNAcentral describes it as "partial small subunit ribosomal RNA". Lineage: Eukaryota; Viridiplantae; Streptophyta; Magnoliopsida; Poales; Poaceae. The record is from RNAcentral.